GACGAACGCUGGCGGCGUGCCUAAUACAUGCAAGUCGAGCGGACGAAUCGAAAGCUUGCUUUUGAUUCGUUAGCGGCGGACGGGUGAGUAACACGUGGGCAACCUGCCCUGUAGACGGGGAUAACACCGAGAAAUCGGUGCUAAUACCGGAUAACACGAAAUGUCGCAUGACGUUUCGUUGAAAGACGGCGCACGCUGUCGCUACAGGAUGGGCCCGCGGCGCAUUAGCUAGUUGGUGAGGUAACGGCUCACCAAGGCGACGAUGCGUAGCCGACCUGAGAGGGUGAUCGGCCACACUGGGACUGAGACCCGGCCCAGACUCCUACGGGAGGCAGCAGUAGGGAAUCUUCCGCAAUGGACGAAAGUCUGACGGAGCAACGCCGCGUGAGCGAAGAAGGCCUUCGGGUCGUAAAGCUCUGUUGUUAGGGAAGAACAAGUAACGCAGUAACUGGCGUUACCGUGACGGUACCUAACGAGAAAGCCACGGCUAACUACGUG
This 498-nucleotide ribosomal RNA is filed under the name uncultured bacterium. RNAcentral's name for it is "partial 16S ribosomal RNA". It matches the Rfam family "Bacterial small subunit ribosomal RNA", at positions 28 to 507 of the family's 1533-position model. The record is from RNAcentral.